GCAGCAGUGGGGAAUAUUGGACAAUGGGCGCAAGCCUGAUCCAGCCAUGCCGCGUGAGUGAUGAAGGCCUUAGGGUUGUAAAGCUCUUUCACCGAUGAAGAUAAUGACGGUAGUCGGAGAAGAAGCCCCGGCUAACUUCGUGCCAGCAGCCGCGGUAAUACGAAGGGGGCUAGCGUUGUUCGGAUUUACUGGGCGUAAAGCGCACGUAGGCGGUUUGUUAAGUGAGAGGUGAAAUCCCAGAGCUCAACUCUGGAACUGCCUUUCAUACUGGCAAGCUAGAGUCCGGAAGAGGUAAGUGGAACUCCUAGUGUAGAGGUGGAAUUCGUAGAUAUUAGGAAGAACACCAGUGGCGAAGGCGGCUUACUGGUCCGGAACUGACGCUGAGGUGCGAAAGCGUGGGGAGCAAACAGGAUUAGAUACCCCCUGGUAGA
Molecule: ribosomal RNA, 431 nt
Filed under: Devosia sp. AS6
Lineage: Bacteria; Pseudomonadati; Pseudomonadota; Alphaproteobacteria; Hyphomicrobiales; Devosiaceae
Description: bacterial SSU rRNA
Rfam family: Bacterial small subunit ribosomal RNA
Source: RNAcentral